Molecule: small nuclear RNA, 22 nt
Filed under: Arabidopsis thaliana (thale cress)
Lineage: Eukaryota; Viridiplantae; Streptophyta; Magnoliopsida; Brassicales; Brassicaceae
Description: snRNA_03346
Source: RNAcentral
UCGGAAGAUUCAGGAGAACAUG